This 429-nucleotide ribosomal RNA is filed under the name Fusobacteriota bacterium. RNAcentral's name for it is "Fusobacteria bacterium partial 16S ribosomal RNA". It matches the Rfam family "Bacterial small subunit ribosomal RNA", at positions 355 to 776 of the family's 1533-position model. Lineage: Bacteria; Fusobacteriati; Fusobacteriota. The record is from RNAcentral.
UGGGGAAUAUUGCACAAUGGGCGAAAGCCUGACGCAGCGACGCCGCGUGAGGGAUGAAGGUUUUCGGAUCGUAAACCUCUGUCAGAAGGGAAGAAACCGCACUGUGCUAAUCAGCGGUGCCUUGACGGUACCUUCAAAGGAAGCACCGGCUAACUCCGUGCCAGCAGCCGCGGUAAUACGGAGGGUGCAAGCGUUAAUCGGAAUUACUGGGCGUAAAGCGCACGUAGGCUGCUUUGUAAGUCAGGGGUGAAAUCCCACGGCUCAACCGUGGAACUGCCUUUGAUACUGCUUAGCUUGAAUCCGGGAGAGGGUGGCGGAAUUCCAGGUGUAGGAGUGAAAUCCGUAGAUAUCUGGAGGAACAUCAGUGGCGAAGGCGGCCACCUGGACCGGUAUUGACGCUGAGGUGCGAAAGCGUGGGGAGCAAACAGG